Zingiber officinale is the source of this 907-nucleotide long non-coding RNA. RefSeq lists it as uncharacterized. The transcript has 4 exons. The record is from RefSeq and is a predicted model, not a curated record. NCBI's taxonomy places the organism in Eukaryota, Viridiplantae, Streptophyta, Magnoliopsida, Zingiberales, Zingiberaceae.
AUGCAUGAAAGACUCAGGGAAUGAUUCAUCAUAUCCUAUGUAGAAAAAAGGCCCAGGUCCUUCUCCUCUCUGUCUAGCUCCCUCCAUUGAUCAAAAAAUCUCAAAAUUUUCUCCCAACCUAGCUAAUAUUCCCGCUUCUACGUCUUUGCUUCUCUCUCUAUGAUCCAUUUCAAUUUUUUUUUCUUUUGUUUCUUCUCUCCCUCGUCCUCCUGCAACAAUCCCAAGCCUUAAUCUCCUUUUCUUUGCUUGCGUUUACUUUCUUCAAACAUAAUAGGGUGAAAAUCAGAUCUGGGAGAGGGCUUAUGAAAUCGAGAAUCACAAUUCAUCGGGACUCACUUGAAGAGAAGAAAAGAAAAGCUUGGGCCCGCGAAGUAGAAGGUUCUACAGUUGAUAAAAAGUAAGAUGAGUUAUCAAAUUUGAAUCCUCCAAGUAUGAUCGAUGAACAAUCCAGUCAAAAUGUUGCAGUUGAAAAAGUUAUCUAUUCAACAAAUUGAUAAUUUGCUUAUUCUCUGAACGGAAGAGAGAGAUUUUUAGUUGGGAGUCUGCUUUGGGAAGUAUUUUAUUCAUUUUGCAUGUUGUGUACUAAGAACUGCACUGGGGAAAUAGAGUUGAUGACAAAAGAGAGAGAGCUUGGUUGGAGUUGAUGACUUCAUUCAACCCCUCAGAGAAGAUCUUUUGGCUAUUGUUAUCUUCCGCCAUCGAAUCCUAAAAUGGAUAUGGGGAGUUUACUCUAUCUGUGUUGAAUGGUUGUGUGGUGAAAUUAAAGGGAUGUUUAAGGGCGUUGUUUGUUAAUAAAUUGAAGGGUUGCAAGGUUUAUGUUGGCCCUGUAUCGGGUUCUUUUUUAAUUGAAGAUUAUAAUACAAUUAGAUUUAUAUGUAAUACAUCCUUAGUAAAAGAUAUAUUAUGU